RNAcentral lists this ribosomal RNA (151 nucleotides) under Candidatus Saccharimonadota bacterium. RNAcentral's name for it is "partial 16S ribosomal RNA". It matches the Rfam family "Bacterial small subunit ribosomal RNA", at positions 1 to 147 of the family's 1533-position model. The record is from RNAcentral. Lineage: Bacteria; Candidatus Saccharimonadota.
UUUAUGGAGAGUUUGAUCCUGGCUCAGGAUGAAUGCUGGCGGCGUGCCUAACACAUGCAAGUCGAGCGGUAACAGGUCUAGUUUACUAGAUGCUGACGAGCGGCGGACGGCUGAGUAACGCGUGGGAAUUUGCCCCAAAGUGAGGGAUAAC